UCUAACCUUACGACAAAAUGGACAGCUUUCGAACUCGUAUAUCUCAAUAGGCUUCUCAGGGCGAGGGCCUAUUUUUGAGGUCUCUUUCACUUUGUAACCAGCUACUUCUAGAGCAUAUUGGUCUGGUGGAAUCUCAUUCUUGGAAACAAAAGAUACAGAAUACCCUGAAACGAAAACACCAGUGCCCAACCGGAAAAGCAAGGCAAGAGAAGCACCAAGAAUAUCCAAAGUCUUGCCUUCCUUCACUGUGAACGGCUUGGG
This 261-nucleotide unclassified non-coding RNA is filed under the name Hevea brasiliensis (rubber tree). Lineage: Eukaryota; Viridiplantae; Streptophyta; Magnoliopsida; Malpighiales; Euphorbiaceae. The record is from RNAcentral.